CACGCCCUAAACGAUGUUAACUAGUUGUUGGGAAGUAAAAUUCUCAGUAACGCAGCCAACGCGAGAAGUUAACCGCCUGGGAAGUACGGUCGCAAGACUAAAACUCAAAGGAAUUGACGG
This 120-nucleotide ribosomal RNA is filed under the name uncultured bacterium. RNAcentral describes it as "partial 16S ribosomal RNA". It matches the Rfam family "Bacterial small subunit ribosomal RNA", at positions 796 to 916 of the family's 1533-position model. The record is from RNAcentral.